GGCUAUGGCCAUGCCACCCUGAACAAGCCCGAUGUCUGAUCUCAGAAGCUAAGCAGGGUCGGGCCUGGUUAGUACUUGGAUGGGAGACCACCUAAGAAGCCCAGGUGCUGUAAGCA
Molecule: ribosomal RNA, 116 nt
Filed under: Pteropus alecto (black flying fox)
Lineage: Eukaryota; Metazoa; Chordata; Mammalia; Chiroptera; Pteropodidae
Source: RNAcentral